Molecule: ribosomal RNA, 495 nt
Filed under: uncultured bacterium
Lineage: Bacteria
Description: partial 16S ribosomal RNA
Rfam family: Bacterial small subunit ribosomal RNA
Source: RNAcentral
GACGAACGCUGGCGGCGUGCCUAAUACAUGCAAGUAGAACGCUGAAGGAGGAGCUUGCUUCUCUGGAUGAGUUGCGAACGGGUGAGUAACGCGUAGGUAACCUGCCUGGUAGCGGGGGAUAACUAUUGGAAACGAUAGCUAAUACCGCAUAAUAUUGACUAUUGCAUGAUAGUCAGUUGAAAGGUGCAACUGCACCACUACCAGAUGGACCUGCGUUGUAUUAGCUAGUUGGUGGGGUAACGGCUCACCAAGGCGACGAUACAUAGCCGACCUGAGAGGGUGGUCGGCCACACUGGGACUGAGACACGGCCCAGACUCCUACGGGAGGCAGCAGUAGGGAAUCUUCGGCAAUGGACGGAAGUCUGACCGAGCAACGCCGCGUGAGUGAAGAAGGUUUUCGGAUCGUAAAGCUCUGUUGUAAGAGAAGAACGAGUGUGAGAGUGGAAAGCUCACACUGUGACGGUAUCUUACCAGAAAGGGACGGCUAACUACGUG